This is a long non-coding RNA of Nothoprocta perdicaria, 431 nucleotides long. RefSeq lists it as uncharacterized. Lineage: Eukaryota; Metazoa; Chordata; Aves; Tinamiformes; Tinamidae. The transcript is spliced from 3 exons. The record is from RefSeq and is a predicted model, not a curated record.
GACUGGAACCAUCUGCAAAAGAAGACACUUAUGCAAGGCUUCAGCCCUUGGCUCAAGCAGUUUUAAGAGCCUGCUGCCUGCAGAAGUGGCCCUGUUUCCAGCAGGUUAGCAGUGUGAUUGACCAGGAGAGCUGCUCUAGAUUCCUGCAAGUGCUGUAAACACUGGCGUGAUUCACAUUAAAGUGUCUGCCGCUGAAACGUGCCCGGAUCGGACGAGCUCCAUGCGCGAUCCCGGCCGUUCUCRUGGGAAAUAUGCAGCUACUUGCGCCCGUGCGGUGCCUGACCCCGGCCACGGUGCAGGCAGCUGCGAGCAGCAGCUUGCUUGCUUGUUUGCUUAUUUUUGCUGCUUGCAAAGCCCUUGGUGCAAUCAGCAUCUGUAACUGGGGCUCGCGUAGUCUGUGGCAAUACUAAUAAAUAUCUCUGACAACUGGA